CGCGUACGAUUCAUAGGCGGCAUCGCUUGUGAAUGAAAAGGUGGCCUCUAUGUAUAAGCUAUCGCUGAAGGAGGGGAUUGCGUCUGAUUAGCUAGUUGGAGGGGUAACGGCCCACCAAGGCAAUGAUCAGUAGCCGGUCUGAGAGGAUGAACGGCCACAUUGGGACUGAGACACGGCCCAAACUCCUACGGGAGGCAGCAGUGGGGAAUCUUCCGCAAUGGACGAAAGUCUGACGGAGCAACGCCGCGUGAGUGAUGAAGGUCUUCGGAUUGUAAAGCUCUGUUAAUCGGGACGAAAGAGUUCUGUGUGAAUAAUGCAGAAAAGUGAC
This 328-nucleotide ribosomal RNA is filed under the name Veillonella sp. oral taxon 780. RNAcentral describes it as "bacterial SSU rRNA". It matches the Rfam family "Bacterial small subunit ribosomal RNA", at positions 170 to 473 of the family's 1533-position model. The record is from RNAcentral. Lineage: Bacteria; Bacillati; Bacillota; Negativicutes; Veillonellales; Veillonellaceae.